GAUGAACGCUGGCGGCGUGCCUAAUACAUGCAAGUCGAGCGAACGGACGAGAAGCUUGCUUCUCUGAUGUUAGCGGCGGACGGGUGAGUAACACGUGGAUAACCUACCUAUAAGACUGGGAUAACUUCGGGAAACCGGAGCUAAUACCGGAUAAUAUUUUGCACCGCAUGGUUCAAAAGUGAAAGACGGUCUUGCUGUCACUUAUAGAUGGAUCCGCGCUGCAUUAGCUAGUUGGUAAGGUAACGGCUUACCAAGGCAACGAUGCAUAGCCGACCUGAGAGGGUGAUCGACCACACUGGAACUGAGACACGGUCCAGACUCCUACGGGAGGAAGCAGUAGGGAAUCUUCCGCGAUGGGCGAGAGCCGGACGGAGCAACGCCGCGGGAGUGAUGAAGGUCUUCGGAUCGUAAAACUCUGUUAUUAGGGAAGAACAUAUGUGUAAGUAACUGUGCACAUCUUGACGGUACCUAAUCAGAAAGCCACGGCUAACUACGUG
This 497-nucleotide ribosomal RNA is filed under the name uncultured bacterium. Its description in RNAcentral is "partial 16S ribosomal RNA". It matches the Rfam family "Bacterial small subunit ribosomal RNA", at positions 28 to 507 of the family's 1533-position model. The record is from RNAcentral.